UGACGACAUCUCGCCAAAUGGCCAUUCAGAAGCAAACUGCUCGUCGAAUAGACUGGGUCGAUUGCGGUUUCGAUUUUUAAAACUUGAAACAUUAUUGUUCUGAAUUUGAAAAUUGAUUGAAUUUGUUUAUCGUAUUGUGACAAGCUGCCAGUGUGAUAGUUGUUUGAUUCUGGAUUUCGCACGAGAAACCGUUUUUGUUUUACCACCAUGUCUUCAAAGAGCUCCAAGCAGACCUUCGGCCGGUCACUCUCCCAGAAUGACACAGCAUUAUCGGCAAGGGUCUACCACCCCGCCACAAACCUAAUGCCGGCGACACCACCAACGUCACCUACUGGGGUUGCCCCCAACUUCCCUCCCCGGUACCCCAACAUGGGCUCGCGCGGCCAGCAAAACAGUUACAACAAAUCUUGGUAGCACACAUCGGAUCUUUGGAUGGAUAUAUCAAGACGAAUGUCGAACCUCCACAGCGAGAACUAAUUAUGGAGGAUAAUUGAAAAUUUGUAAAUAUGAUAGGAAAUGUAAAUAUAGAUUUAGGGCUUGCGGGCUUUGGAAUGCCUGUAGGGAAUGCAAGAAGGGCAUAGUCACUUUUAGAACUAAAGAUUGACGGUUGACCACGCCAACAAUAGGUAUGAGAAAGAGAUGCAUUUCAACCAAGAUUCCUCGCGUUUGGUGAAUAGAAAAUAAUAAUAAUGUCAUUUAAAAUCAGAGUCGUAGUACUACAGAAUACUGCAUGGAAGAUCAUGUUGGUAGUAUACGAUGCGAUUGUAAAAAAUCUCGGAAUUAAUAAAAAAUGUUCCGAUAAAAUUUCUUUUCUCUUUUUGGCAAAUUUUUAAAGCUGAAGAAACACGAAUGAACUUCGCUCUGGUACUUAACUGUAUCAGAGAGUGAGAGACGGUAAUCUUAAAGCAUUUAAUACUUCCCCUGAGUGAUCGAUUGAAUGAAAAGAAUGGAAGAUGUUCAGAAGCGAGUUAAAGAGUAAUGGGAGUGCAUGAAUUUGUGUUGAUUGAAUGCAAAUGAAUUCUUAGUUAAUUAUUGUACCUAAUAGUUAAUAUUUAGCGACUCUAAAUUAUCUCCUAGAGUCUAUUAUCUUUUCGCUUUCUAAUCUCAUUGCCGAUGUAUCGUCAAUAUCUAUGUAGUUGUGAAAUAUGUGUACAAUAUUGUAUAACUUUAUGAUUCACACAAUGUUGAUAGACAUUUCUUGUUUAAAAGAGGUUGAACAACCAGAUCAGAUAUAUAGUCCUUUGGUAAGACACUAGUUCUAAUUGUGUGAUGAUUUUAUGGUCUACUUUUUGGAUUUAAGUCCUUGUAAUUCUUGAUACUUAACCCAAAAUAUGUUUUUGAUCUGUAUCUGGACAAUGUGUGAUUAUUUUCUGUAUUUAUUUAGAUCAAUGUGUCUAUUAUUGUAACAUCUAUGGAUUUUUGUUGUAUGAAAUACAUUUUAUACUGUUCUCUUGUAAGCAAAAUGUAAGAAAACCAAAUAUAAAAUUAUGUAUGGCCA
Molecule: long non-coding RNA, 1498 nt
Organism: Manduca sexta (tobacco hornworm)
Lineage: Eukaryota; Metazoa; Arthropoda; Insecta; Lepidoptera; Sphingidae
Exons: 3
Source: RefSeq, a predicted model, not a curated record